AGCUGGUGAGCAUGCUCUCUUCUGGCUCUUUCUGCAGCACUGGGGGGCUAGGAUGCUCUUGGUUCUGCUCACUGCUUGCCCCUCUCGUUGGCACAAUUGUGUAGGACCUUUGCAACCUGCGCCUGCUUAUCUGGUCCCUGACAACAUUCAGGCUUCUGCGGUAUCCACUAACGUUGGGAAUGCAGCAGCAGCUCUUCCUCCUUCUGGCCAUGAGGGUGGCCGGCUUUCCGGGGCUUAGUAAAUGCCAGUCUACUCAAUCCCUGCAGGGCAGGAGAGACUUUGCUGGGAGCCCGCUGCCCCUCCGGUUCUCAGGAGGUCUGAGGAAUGAAGCCUGGGCUACAAAGGAGGGAACUGGUAAAACGUGGACCCAAUGCUUUAGCAGCUGGCCACAAACUAUUACAGUUGUGUACCUUGCACAGUUAUCACUGCAAAACAUCCAAACAAACAACUUUUCCUGUGCUGAGAUCUGAAAUUCGUCACAAAGACAUACUGAUGAUUUUUGUACUGGGAAAUUUUGACAGAUGAAAAACCAUGAGAUGAAAAACAUGUUUAAUCACAUAAUGACAUAAAUUACCCUCUGAUGGCCCUGCAAUCUCACAAUAUGCCACAUUGGUAUAUUGAUCAUUUCAAACAAAAAUCCCUUGAGAAACUGUACCUUCAGGAAGAGACAUUUGGCCUGCAUCUUCCCACAUGCCAUGAAGAUUGCUUUGGAAGGGAUGUUCCUCACAUUGCAAGAGCAAGAAGCAGCCUUGAGCACUAGAGACGGGGGCCAGAAGUGAACCUGAAAAAACACAUUCUUGGAAGCCACCGUUAUCUCCCACCAACUUCUUCAUUGCCCGUAUUAUCUCUUAGUGACAUCCCUAGGACUCACCACGGUGCAGAUAUCCAUGUGUCUUGUCAUUCCUUCACAAAUUUGUUAUUUGUCUAAAAAGUAUAAAGUCACCAUGCUUUGGUCAGUUCUCUGACGUCACUUUUCUGCAAA
RNAcentral lists this long non-coding RNA (982 nucleotides) under Cavia porcellus (domestic guinea pig). RNAcentral's name for it is "lncRNA (ENSCPOG00000030084.1)". The record is from RNAcentral. Lineage: Eukaryota; Metazoa; Chordata; Mammalia; Rodentia; Caviidae.